Molecule: transfer RNA, 51 nt
Filed under: Dephomys defua (Defua Dephomys)
Lineage: Eukaryota; Metazoa; Chordata; Mammalia; Rodentia; Muridae
Description: partial tRNA-Phe
Source: RNAcentral
UCAAAGCAAGGCACUGAAAAUGCUUAGAUGGAUAAACUUAUCCCAUAAACA